CGCUGAGCGCUAUCAGAUGGGCGCCCGGCGCCCUGUGCAGUGUAAAAGCUGAAGAAAACUAAAAAAAACACAACUGGAUUGGUCCAAUUUUGAGUUUUACACUUCCCGAUCACGCCAAUUGAUUUACACACAUUCAUAUAUCAUAACAAACAUGCUCAUGCCUUAAAAUUCAGCAAUCAAGCACAGUUUAUCAAAGAUUCACAAUGCAAGGCUUCCAAAGACAAGUUUGUAUGCUUUUCCGGAACUUAAUAGGCCAUAUUUUGAUGUAUUCACUUCUAGCACAUGCCGCUUGGUCCAAACACAUUCAAAAACCCUAUAAAACUUGUACAUACCUAAAAAUUAGAAAUUGAAGCACAUUUAGCACAAAAGUUAUUCUAGGUUCCAUUAAGGGUAAAAUUUCAUGAUUUCACAACUCAACACCU
RNAcentral lists this long non-coding RNA (422 nucleotides) under Lotus japonicus. RNAcentral's name for it is "long non-coding RNA (LJAP_LNC002130)". Lineage: Eukaryota; Viridiplantae; Streptophyta; Magnoliopsida; Fabales; Fabaceae. The record is from RNAcentral.